AUGCAAGAGCUUCCCUCAAAAAAAAAAGAAUGCAAGAGCUACGUUUAUGUUUGUUACAAUAACGGCGAUGGUUUAUUCUAUGCUCUUCGAGGUUGUGGUGAUGUGCAUACCAUUGAUCUCUGUGGACAAUAUCCACUGGUCAAUAUUGUCUACAAGCACAAGGCGGAUUAUGAUACCGAGAGUAAGUAUAUUGUACAAGCGUCAUGGGGUGAUUUCUUUCAGAUAUGGAGAUGGGAUCUAUAUCUCGAGGAUGACGAGGAGGUGGUGGAGGACAACAACGAUAAUGAUGUCGAUGAGGGUGUGGACAAUGCAGAUGUUCUUGUGGAGGAGCGGAACAUGGAGGACGGUGACGAGAAAGAGCGUGUGACAGCCCGCUUUGUUGUCUACAAAAUCGACUUUGUCAAACAAAAGCUCACCAAAGUACACAAUCUCAAAGAUCACACACUGUUCACGGGUUUCAACACUUCAUUUUUAGUUCUGGCGAAGGACUUCCCCGCAUUAAUACCCAAUAGCAUCUACCAUACAGAUGACUUGAAUCAUAAUACUUCCUCCAAGAGAUUUUCAGAUAGACGGGCUUUGAUUGACAAGGGCCUUCGGCAGGUUUUCAUCUUCAAUAUGGAAGAUUGUAGUUUCACGAAUAUACUGGCUCCCCAUUCUUCAAGAUUGAAUUGGCCCCCACCAGUUUGGUUCCUGCUAUAA
Molecule: ribosomal RNA, 699 nt
Filed under: Triticum aestivum (bread wheat)
Lineage: Eukaryota; Viridiplantae; Streptophyta; Magnoliopsida; Poales; Poaceae
Description: partial small subunit ribosomal RNA
Source: RNAcentral